AGAGUUUGAUCAUGGCUCAGAACGAACGCUGGCGGCAGGCCUAACACAUGCAAGUCGAGCGCUGUAGCAAUACAGAGCGGCGCACGGGUGAGUAACACGUGGGAACGUGCCCUUUGGUUCGGAAUAACUCAGGGAAACUUGAGCUAAUACCGGAUGAGCCCUAACGGGGAAAGAUUUAUCGCCGAAGGAGCGGCCCGCGUUGGAUUAGCUAGUUGGUGGGGUAAAAGCCUACCAAGGCGACGAUCCAUAGCUGGUUUGAGAGAACGACCAGCCACACUGGGACUGAGACACGGCCCAGACUCCUACGGGAGGCAGCAGUGGGGAAUCUUGGACAAUGGGGGAAACCCUGAUCCAGCCAUGCCGCGUGAGUGAUGAAGGCCCUAGGGUUGUAAAACUCUUUCGGCGGGGACGAUAAUGACGGUACCCGCAGAAGAAGCUCCGGCUAACUUCGUGCCAGCAGCCGCGGUAAUACGAAGGGGGCUAGCGUUGUUCGGAAUUACUGGGCGUAAAGCGCGCGCAGGCGGUUCUUCAAGUCAGAGGUGAAAGCCCAGGGCUCAACCCUGGAAUGGCCUUUGAGACUAGAGGACUUGGGUACGGGAGAGGUGAGUGGAAUUCCGAGUGUAGAGGUGAAAUUCGUAGAUAUUCGGAAGAACACCAGUGGCGAAGGCGGCUCACUGGCCCGUUACCGACGCUCAGGCGCGACAGCGUGGGGAGCAAACAGGAUUAGAUACCCUAGUAGUCC
RNAcentral lists this ribosomal RNA (742 nucleotides) under uncultured bacterium. RNAcentral's name for it is "bacterial SSU rRNA". It matches the Rfam family "Bacterial small subunit ribosomal RNA", at positions 8 to 796 of the family's 1533-position model. The record is from RNAcentral.